AUGGAAUUUUCCAGGCAAGAAUCCUGGAGUGGGUUGCCAUUCUCUUCUCCAGGGGAUCGUCCCAACCCGGGGAUCAAACCCAGGACUCCUGCAUUUCGGGCAGAUCCUUUACCAGCUGAGCCACGAGAGAAGCUCGGUGCACAGUUGAUUACGUCAGUCAUGUCGAUUUUGAGUACCAGCACCCUACCUCCACCCUGCCAGAAGAGAACACUGCUUGCUAGGAUGUUUAUGACCUCUUCAUUGUCAGCUCCCAUGAACACGUGGUCUGUCUGCCUACACUUGGUCUCACCACAUAUGGUCCCUGAGUGACUAUAUCGAGUCCAGUGAAUUCAGCAUGUCUCUAUUUAGGUGAGUACAGAACAGCUCUAAGGGUAAGUACCAAGUCUAUCUCCUGAGCUCCCUUUGAGCCAGGUCAUGGUGCCUGAAUGCUCAGACUCUCUACAGAAGACAUCUCUAGACCAGACACCUCCACAUGGACAUCCCACCAUUCAGGAUCCUGAAGGGUACUGAUCAACUCUUCCCUUAUUCAUUCCCUAGUCCGUUUUUCUACUGAAUUCCCCAUCUUUAUUCAUGGUACCAUUCUUUACCCAUAAGCCCAUGGACACAGUCUAGCCUGUCUUCCUUAUGUCUAAUUGGUAACUGGUGUCUUGCCAAAACUUGACUCUGAAGCUCUCUGGGACUGGUUUCUUCCUCCCAUGCGCUCUGAUAUGCAGCCUCAGCAUCUC
RNAcentral lists this long non-coding RNA (725 nucleotides) under Cervus hanglu yarkandensis (Yarkand deer). RNAcentral describes it as "lncRNA (ENSCHYG00000013270.1)". The record is from RNAcentral. Lineage: Eukaryota; Metazoa; Chordata; Mammalia; Artiodactyla; Cervidae.